This 212-nucleotide long non-coding RNA is filed under the name Medicago truncatula (barrel medic). RNAcentral's name for it is "long non-coding RNA (MTRU_LNC004388)". The record is from RNAcentral. Lineage: Eukaryota; Viridiplantae; Streptophyta; Magnoliopsida; Fabales; Fabaceae.
GCAUGUUAUUUUCACUAAUGCAUUGCCGUUGAAGUGGUUAUCCGCUCCCUUAGUGAAUUGAAGGUCACGCGUUCGAUUCCCUGGCGGACCUGGUGAGAUUUGAACCAGCAUCCCCAUGUAUCAGUAAGGCAAUAUUACCACUACACCAGAUAACAAUGUUGUACAUAUUUUUAAACUAUUUAAUAUAUAUUCUUCAAAUAUUUGACACCCCC